Passer domesticus (house sparrow) is the source of this 3027-nucleotide long non-coding RNA. RefSeq lists it as uncharacterized. NCBI's taxonomy places the organism in Eukaryota, Metazoa, Chordata, Aves, Passeriformes, Passeridae. The record is from RefSeq and is a predicted model, not a curated record. The transcript is spliced from 2 exons.
AGACACAAGAGCCGCCCUGAGCCGCCCGGCCCGCGGCACCCCGGAGGGGCGGGUCCCCCUGAAGGCCCGACCCCGCCGGGAGCAGUUUGAAAAGAAUCCAACAGGAUUUGUGGCAGGUAAGGGCUGCAGAGCCGCUCGCUCCUGCCCUCCAGCUUGUGAGCCAGCGGAGGGCAAAGGGAGAGUAAAACCAAGAAAACUGGGCUGUCCUGCUGGAAACAAGUCUGCUUAAGUGAAGGAAGGAGGAAAAUGCAAAACAAACCACCAAACUGACUCUUAAUGAGUAAAGAAAGUUUCCUAAGGAGGGUCUUGACAGGACACAGGCACAGAGAAACUGAGGCUGGGACUCUUCACGAGAACUGUGCUGAGCUCAGCCCCACCAGUGGCAGGAAGAGGCUUACAGGGCUCAGGAUGAGAAUGGCACCAGACAGGUUUGUGCCCACAAACUUAGACCCUUCUGAGAAGCUUUGCGUGUCCUUGUCCUGCAGAGCAAAACUCUGUUAUGCUUUGCUAAAAGUCUCCCAUCAAACAAACCUCCAAACUGAAGUGCUUUAGUGAAGAGCCCACGCUGACACAACACCAGCACCCAAUGCCUGGCGCUGGAGCCCUCAGCAGCAGCUUUGGGCACUGUCACUGCAGAGCCAACAGCCCAGAGGUGGGCUUGGUGCAGACCAACUGCUGCUCUUUAUGCUGACUCUGCUGUGAGUUAACCCCACAGCAGCCUCUCCUGUGGCUGCCACACUGAGUCUGUCUGGUGAGUGCUCACCAACACCUCACACCACAGGACAGGGGCAGCACCAGCAGUGAAGAGCAGGACGGGUGGUUUGAUGCAAGAGGAUACAGCUACAGUCAGCAGCAAAAAUUAGGAAGUCUGACAGCCAAUAGAAAGGUUAGAACAAAGUUCUGUUAUUGUAAGUGACAUAUCCACAAUUAUGUGCAAGAAAUUCAUUGGUGUUGGCAUUAGUGAGAGCAAAGAACACCCUCCACGCUCAGCACAGGGACAAUGUGAGGGCUCCAGCCAGAGACUGCACCUUCCUCUCCUCGCGUGGGUGACAGCACAAAACUCCCAAAUUAUGCUGAGGAUGGGACAAUCCAUGGGUAUGAGCAAAAAUCGUUCUUACUUCUCCACACAAAGCAGAAAUGCAGAAGUGUGCAGCUCCUGAUUUAGUGCCCCACUGACCCGUGUCUGUCUGCCUGUGUGUCCCUGCAGUCAGAGCUGAGUCCUGGUCAAUCUAAGGAGCUCACACCAAACGUUCAUUUUAGCUUCACACGUGCAGCGGAGUGAUUUCCAUGUUAAGCAUCCCUCUUGUUACCAGAUUUAUUCUCAAGGCUGUGGGUGACUCUGUCUGCUCUACCACCAGGUAUUACUGGCAUCCCCAAGAAAUGCACCAGCUUAGCACUUGCUGAAGCCAUUCCCGUGUCAGAAACUGCUCCUCAUGCCACAGCCCGGCCCCAACGCAGCUCAAGCAGCAUUUCGUGCAAAUAUGAUGAAAGAAGAGAGUACCUGGAUGAGGCAGCUGCAUGAAAACUGCAGACUUAGAGCAAGGCAGAGAAGCUUCACAGACACAGAAUGAAAGAAAUAAAUAGAGCCCAAUCCUGCACCAUCACCUCAUCCUUGGAAAUGAGCUGCUGGAGCUGCCACCGAUGCUGUGUUGCAAAUGGAAAGAUGCUGCCCAAGUGUCCUCCCACACUGACAGCAAGGAUGCUCCCCAAGAAACCCCUGUUCCCAAACCAUUCCAACAGCCCUGCCUUACUCCUGCUGCUCCUCUGCACCCUGAACAAACCAUCCCCGUGCCUGUGAGCCAGGGAUCCCCUGCAGGGCACAUGGUCCACAAGGAGGUGCUGCUGUUCUGAUACCCUGAAUUCUCUUUCCUUCACACGGAGUGACCUGGGAGACAAUUUUUGUGCUGGAUAAUAUCCAGGAUCUGAAUCAACAGGGUAACAUCUCAGAAACAAUUUAAUAUUCAUUUGACUCCACAAUGCACCAAUGUCUGACACAUAAACACAACCAAAGAGCCAACGAGGCUCCUAAAGCAGGAAAUGCCCACAUCUGCCCAUCCCAGAUGGUACCAGAACAGGCACUGACCUGGGGAGUGCUGGGAAGUGGCAAGUGAGGUCAUGGAGUUGGAGAGGUUGAGGUUUGCAGUGAUGCUGAGCUGGCUCUGCACCGCUGGGGGAUACGGAGAGGUGGGGGUCAGGAGAGAUUCUUCACUGGCUUCCUCAUCAAUUCCAGGCAAGUAUGUGUCAAUCAAGGCAUCAAGGAACUUCACUAUGAGCUCAGCAUAGUCUGGGAUUUGGGUUUGCUGUGGGAGAUGGGGGAAAAAAAAAAUUGUUAUUUCCUUUGUACUUUCCUGUCAAUUUGAGCUUUGCUCCAGAGCUCACUCUCAAGUCCCACUGUUUUGCCUGCAAAUUUUCAAGAGCAUUUGAUAUCUGUAAAAAGUGAUUUGUGGCCUUGUCCAGACCAAUCUAAAUGUACACACUGCAGACCAGGUGUCAGUGUGGCUCAGUGUGUGGGAGCCCAGGGCAGGAAAAGGGGCCGCAGAGCCCCUGCCCCAGCCCCACAGCUGGGCCACCUCCCUUGGGAUGGCUGGACACAUGGGCAGUGCUCCACUGGCUCUGCUCCAACACAAAGUUUAGCCUCCUGGAAUCAUCACCCUUAUCAAAUUAACCCCUACCCUGUCAGAUAGAUGUAAUGAACUGACCCUGGGAGCAGGAAAAGCUGCCCUCACACAUUGGCUGCUUUUACCCCACUUUGGUAACCUGCUGCAGGCCCAGGGCUGCUUUUACCCCUGGAGGUGCCCCUGAUGCUCUCUGCUCACUCCUUAUGAACAUCUUGGGUGCAGCACCAACGUGCCCAGAAAGGCCAAACAGCCCCGACCCCACUGAGCUCUUACCUUGGAGAAGGGGCCAGCAAACCUCCACAGCCCAUUAAAUCCAAAACCUGCAACAACAAAUGGAACCACAAUGAAAGCCCAGCUCUCACCUGACACAGAACAGAGUGCUCCCAGUACAGCACUUUUUUUUUUUUUU